This 46-nucleotide non-coding RNA is filed under the name Trichobilharzia regenti. The record is from RNAcentral. Lineage: Eukaryota; Metazoa; Platyhelminthes; Trematoda; Strigeidida; Schistosomatidae.
GUACUGCUGGAGAGUCCCAAACUAGGACGAAACAGCUGUCAAGUAC